Molecule: long non-coding RNA, 669 nt
Organism: Cotesia glomerata
Lineage: Eukaryota; Metazoa; Arthropoda; Insecta; Hymenoptera; Braconidae
Exons: 3
Source: RefSeq, a predicted model, not a curated record
UUUAUAAAUAAAUAAAAUACGUAAAUUUUUGUGCAGAAGAUAAGCUUUGAUUUUUUUUAAAGUCAACAAAAUCGGUUUCACAUUCUUUGGAAUAUCUGAAGAUGUCCUGUAAGCUUAUAAAUAAACAUAAAAGCCAAGUGAUAACUUCCCACUCAGCUUUGCUCCGACCCAUCUUUCAAGUAAGCCGCAGUUAACGAAAACUCGUUACAGCUGAUAUCGGUAACGACUUAUCAGAAACACUGAGCUGAGUGGUUUGGCAUAGCAGUGACUCACAAUUUGUGUACAUACGUAGAAUAUGCUCCGACGGAAUCGGGAUUGGAGUACGUAAUACAAUAAAAGUAAAAGUACACCGUUCAGCUGUUCAAAGAGUGAAUAGAAAUGGUAUGUAACUCACGAAGCAACCUCGUCAAGAUAUGAUAGCGUCGAUUCCGACGAAACGUUUCACGGACCACGCCUUAUUUAACCGGAUUUUGCCGUGACGAUGUCUCGUGCCCGUUCCCGCCUUCUGAGAAUGAUAUUUAGUCCCGAGAAAAAUAAUAUACAGGGGGCUGGUGCUGUUACGCUGCAUCGAAAAUCGAAAGGUUCACAUAUUGUGUCAGUAUAAAUAUAUUGGUGAACAAGAUUGGCUUUUGUCAAUAUAAAUGAUAAUAAAAAACACUUUCGACUUUU